GACAGAGGGUGCAAACGUUGUUCGGAAUUACUGGGCGUAAAGCGCGUGUAGGCGGCAGGGCAUGUCGGAUGUGAAAUCCCGUGGCUCAACCACGGAAGUGCACCCGAAACUGCCCAGCUUGAGUCUCGGAGAGGAAGGCGGAAUGCUUGGUGUAGAGGUGAAAUUCGUAGAUAUCAAGCGGAACACCGGUGGCGAAGGCGGCCUUCUGGACGAUGACUGACGCUGAGACGCGAAAGCGUGGGGGAGCAAACAGG
RNAcentral lists this ribosomal RNA (254 nucleotides) under uncultured bacterium. RNAcentral describes it as "partial 16S ribosomal RNA". It matches the Rfam family "Bacterial small subunit ribosomal RNA", at positions 524 to 776 of the family's 1533-position model. The record is from RNAcentral.